RNAcentral lists this ribosomal RNA (321 nucleotides) under uncultured marine eukaryote. RNAcentral describes it as "SSU rRNA". It matches the Rfam family "Eukaryotic small subunit ribosomal RNA", at positions 881 to 1202 of the family's 1831-position model. The record is from RNAcentral.
GUUGGGGGCAUCAGUAUUCUGAAGCGAGAGGUGAAAUUCUUGGACCUUCGGAAGACUAACAACUGCGAAAGCAUUUGCCUAGGAUGUUCUCUUUAAUCAAGAACGAAAGUUGGGGGAUCGAAGACGAUCAGAUACCGUCGUAGUCUCAACUAUAAACUAUGCCAGCUAGGGAUUGGUGGACGUUUAUUUACGACUCCAUCAGCACCUUAUGAGAAAUCAAAGCAUUUGGGUUCCGGGGGGAGUAUGGUCGCAAGGCUGAAACUUAAAGGAAUUGACGGGAGGGCACCACCAGGAGUGGAGCCUGUGGCUUGAUUUGACUCA